This is a long non-coding RNA of Silurus meridionalis, 763 nucleotides long. RefSeq lists it as uncharacterized. The transcript has 2 exons. The record is from RefSeq and is a predicted model, not a curated record. NCBI's taxonomy places the organism in Eukaryota, Metazoa, Chordata, Actinopteri, Siluriformes, Siluridae.
GGGUGUAAACACGCCGCCGCCGCUCCACUCAUCACUCAACCCGCUCAGACUCCAUGUUCAUCUCCUUCCCAGAUCAUCACAGAUCAUCCCCUCUGCUCCAUGACGACAUUAAUCCCCCUCCGGAUUGACGGUUUAUUGUCACUGACCGGGUCCCCGGAGCAGGAUGCGGUUCACUCACAGUGCAGCCGAGCGAGACGCGGAUGAAGGAUUCGGGGGGCGUGUCGCUGAAAACCAGCAGGUUGAGCAGACCACUAGGGCUGAGCGAUACGACUUCACUCUCCUCCUCGAUCCAAUACCAAAUACUUUCAGGACAUAUCGCUACCGAUACCAAUGUCAAUUCAUGUUUUACCUAACAGUCCUAAACUGUGGAGCAUUAACACCUUGUACUUCUUUAAUCAUUUGAGAUACAGUAACUCGUCUGUUGGAUUUGUCCACACGGACCAGCAUUCAUUCCCAACGUGCAUCAAUAAGCCUCAGCCGCCCACGACCCAGUCACCGGUUCACCACUGUUCAUUCCUUUGAGUACUUUUGUUAGACGCAGACCAGGAGACCACAAGAACUGCAGUUCUGGAGAUGAUUUGACCCAGUCGUCUAGACCAGUGUUCCCCAACCUUUUUUUGCACCACAAACCAGUUUAAUGUCAGACCAUAUUUUCACGGACCCGGACCGGCCUGUAAGGUGUGGUGGAUAAAUACAACUAAAUAAGAUACGACCAUAAAAACUGAUAUUUUCUAAAUAUAAUAAUAAACGUGAAUCCACUGUG